This 493-nucleotide ribosomal RNA is filed under the name uncultured bacterium. RNAcentral's name for it is "partial 16S ribosomal RNA". It matches the Rfam family "Bacterial small subunit ribosomal RNA", at positions 30 to 523 of the family's 1533-position model. The record is from RNAcentral.
AUUGAACGCUGGCGGCAUGCUUUACACAUGCAAGUCGAACGGUAACAGGUUAAGCUGACGAGUGGCGAACGGGUGAGUAAUGCAUUGGAACGUGCCCGGUCGUGGGGGAUAACGCAGCGAAAGCUGCGCUAAUACCGCAUACGAUCUGAGGAUGAAAGCGGGGGACCGUAAGGCCUCGCGCGAUCGGAGCGGCCGAUGUCAGAUUAGGUAGUUGGUGGGGUAAAGGCUCACCAAGCCGACGAUCUGUAGCUGGUCUGAGAGGACGACCAGCCACACUGGGACUGAGACACGGCCCAGACUCCUACGGGAGGCAGCAGUGGGGAAUUUUGGACAAUGGGCGAAAGCCUGAUCCAGCCAUGCCGCGUGCAGGAUGAAGGCCUUCGGGUUGUAAACUGCUUUUGUACGGAACGAAAAGGUUUGGCCUAAUAAGCUGAGCUCAUGACGGUACCGUAAGAAUAAGCACCGGCUAACUACGUGCCAGCCGCCGCAGAAA